GAUGAAGAACGCAGCGAAAUGCGAUAAGUAAUGUGAAUUGCAGAUUUCAGUGAAUCAUCGAAUCUUUGAACGCACCUUGCGCCUUGUGGUAACACAAGGCAUGCCCGUUUGAGUAUCAUUAAAUCAUCAACUCUAAAAACUUUGUGUUUUUUUGAGCUUGGUCUUGAGGGUUUUUUGCAGGCGUUAUAGUCUGCUCCCUUUAAAUGCAUUAGCGAGACUUCCCUGUGCUGAACUGUCUCUUUGACGUGAUAAUUAUCUACGUUGAAUUUGGUUCUCGUUGGGCUUGCUUCUAACCGUCCAUGAUUUUGGACAAACUGGGGAUUUGGGUGCAUAUAUGCGCCCUUUUCUCCAAACCUUUUUUGAUCUCAAAUCGGGUAGGACUACCCGCUGAACUUAAGCAUAUCAAUAAGCGGAGGA
RNAcentral lists this unclassified non-coding RNA (417 nucleotides) under soil metagenome. RNAcentral describes it as "partial contains internal transcribed spacer 2 and large subunit ribosomal RNA". The stretch from base 1 to 118 matches the Rfam family "5.8S ribosomal RNA", at positions 35 to 154 of the family's 154-position model. The record is from RNAcentral.